UGAAAUCUGGCUUUCGGGCCCGAGUUGUAAUUUGUAGAGGAUACUUUUGAUGCGGUGCCUUCCGAGUUCCCUGGAACGGGACGCCAUAGAGGGUGAGAGCCCCGUCUGGUUGGAUGCCAAAUCUCUGUAAAGUUCCUUCGACGAGUCGAGUAGUUUGGGAAUGCUGCUCUAAAUGGGAGGUAUAUGUCUUCUAAAGCUAAAUAUUGGCCAGAGACCGAUAGCGCACAAGUAGAGUGAUCGAAAGAUGAAAAGCACUUUGAAAAGAGAGUUAAAAAGUACGUGAAAUUGUUGAAAGGGAAGCGUUUAUGACCAGACUUGGACUUGGUUAAUCAUCUGGGGUUCUCCCCAGUGCACUUUUCCAGUUCAGGCCAGCAUCAGUUUUCGCCGGGGGAUAAAGGCUUCGGGAAUGUAGCUCUCUUCGGGGAGUGUUAUAGCCCGUUGUGUAAUACCCUGGUGGAGACUGAGGUUCGCGCUUCUGCAAGGAU
This 485-nucleotide ribosomal RNA is filed under the name Fusarium arthrosporioides. RNAcentral describes it as "eukaryotic LSU rRNA". It matches the Rfam family "Eukaryotic large subunit ribosomal RNA", at positions 116 to 624 of the family's 3401-position model. The record is from RNAcentral. Lineage: Eukaryota; Fungi; Ascomycota; Sordariomycetes; Hypocreales; Nectriaceae.